UGGCUGGCUAAGUCAAGUGGAUACUUCGCAAUUUUAAUAAAGUAUGACUGACUUUAAUUCAAAUCCCUCUAGUUCCACUAACGCAAUCCAGCCUUUUU
RNAcentral lists this vault RNA (98 nucleotides) under Amphimedon queenslandica. It matches the Rfam family "Vault RNA". From Rfam's summary of the family: This family of RNAs are found as part of the enigmatic vault ribonucleoprotein complex. The record is from Rfam by way of RNAcentral. Lineage: Eukaryota; Metazoa; Porifera; Demospongiae; Haplosclerida; Niphatidae.